This 253-nucleotide ribosomal RNA is filed under the name uncultured bacterium. RNAcentral describes it as "partial 16S ribosomal RNA". It matches the Rfam family "Bacterial small subunit ribosomal RNA", at positions 524 to 776 of the family's 1533-position model. The record is from RNAcentral.
UACAGGGGGGGCAAGCGUUGUCCGGAAUUACUGGGUGUAAAGGGUCCGUAGGCGGAUCGGUAAGUCAGUGGUUAAAUCCUGCAGCUUAACUGUAGACUAUCCAUUGAUACUGCCGGUCUUGAGUGCGAGAGAGAUGAGUGGAAUUCCAAGUGUAGCGGUGAAAUGCGUAGAGAUUUGGAAGAACACCAGUUGCGAAGGCGGCUCAUUGGCUCGCUACUGACGCUGAGGGACGAAAUCAUGGGGAGCAAACAGG